UGUUAAACAAAAUAUUGAUCAUAACAGAGUAGUUUUACAUACUUUGUUUCUGGAAUGGGACUUGUAAAAAAGAACAAGGUCA
Long non-coding RNA from Etheostoma cragini (Arkansas darter), 82 nucleotides. RefSeq lists it as uncharacterized. The transcript is spliced from 3 exons. The record is from RefSeq and is a predicted model, not a curated record. Lineage: Eukaryota; Metazoa; Chordata; Actinopteri; Perciformes; Percidae.